UCCAGACUCCUACGGGAGGCAGCAGUGGGGGAUAUUGCACAAUGGGGGGAACCCUGAUGCAGCGACGCCGCGUGGGUGAAGGAGCGUUUCGGCGCGUAAAGCCCUAUCGGCAGGGAAGAAGGAGGACGGUACCUGACUAAGAAGCCCCGGCUAACUACGUGCCAGCAGCCGCGGUAAUACGUAGGGGGCAAGCGUUAUCCGGAUUUACUGGGUGUAAAGGGGGCGCAGACGGCAGCGCAAGCCAGGAGUGAAAGCCCGGGGCCCAACCCUGGGACUGCUCUUGGAACUGCGCGGCUGGAGUGCAGGAGGGGCAGGCGGAAUUCCUGGUGUAGCGGUGAAAUGCGUAGAUAUCAGGAGGAACACCGGUGGCGAAGGCGGCCUGCUGGACUGCGACUGACGUUGAGGCCCGAAAGCGUGGGGAGCAAACAGGAUUAGAUACCCGCGUAA
Molecule: ribosomal RNA, 447 nt
Filed under: uncultured bacterium
Lineage: Bacteria
Description: bacterial SSU rRNA
Rfam family: Bacterial small subunit ribosomal RNA
Source: RNAcentral